RNAcentral lists this ribosomal RNA (253 nucleotides) under uncultured bacterium. RNAcentral describes it as "partial 16S ribosomal RNA". It matches the Rfam family "Bacterial small subunit ribosomal RNA", at positions 524 to 776 of the family's 1533-position model. The record is from RNAcentral.
UACGGGGGGGGCAAGCGUUGUUCGGAAUUACUGGGCGUAAAGGGCUCGUAGGUGGCCAACUAAGUCAGACGUGAAAUCCCUCGGCUUAACCGGGGAACUGCGUCUGAUACUGGAUGGCUUGAGUUUGGGAGAGGGACGCGGAAUUCCUGGUGUAGCGGUGAAAUGCGCAGAUAUCAGGAGGAACACCAAUGGCGAAGGCAGCUCGCUGGGACGUGACUGACGCUGAGACGCGAAAGCGUGGGGAGCAAACAGG